UUUGUGGUCUCGCUGGCUUCAGGAGUGAAGCUGCAGACCUUCAAGAAACUCCUGGAGGGCAGAGGCAUGCCUGCCAUCUUCAUCAUUGCAUUACCACCACCCAACACUAUCGGGGGACCUGCCCUGAUAAUCAGUUCCUCCCACUGAAGAAUCGGAGUAUAUUUCUCCAGCCCCUAAUGUUGGGUUUAGUCAUGUGUCUAG
RNAcentral lists this long non-coding RNA (201 nucleotides) under Homo sapiens (human). RNAcentral's name for it is "HSALNT0344920". The record is from RNAcentral. Lineage: Eukaryota; Metazoa; Chordata; Mammalia; Primates; Hominidae.